CAGCUUGUUGGCGGGGUAACGGCCCACCAAGGCGACGAUCCGUAGCUGGUCUGAGAGGACGAUCAGCCACACUGGGACUGAGACACGGCCCAGACUCCUACGGGAGGCAGCAGUGGGGAAUCUUGCGCAAAUGCGGGAAACCGUGACGCAGCGACGCCGCGUGGGGGAAGAAGGCCUUCGGGUUGUAAACCUCUUUCAGGAGGGACGAAGCUACUCGGGUUAAUAGCCCAGAGGGUGACGGUACCUCCAGAAGAAGCCCCGGCUAACUACGUGCCAGCAGCCGCGGUAAUACGUAGGGGGCAAGCGUUGUCCGGAUUUAUUGGGCGUAAAGAGCGUGUAGGCCGCUUGGUAGGUCCGCUGUGAAAACCCGAGG
This 373-nucleotide ribosomal RNA is filed under the name uncultured Actinomycetes bacterium. RNAcentral's name for it is "SSU rRNA". It matches the Rfam family "Bacterial small subunit ribosomal RNA", at positions 242 to 607 of the family's 1533-position model. Lineage: Bacteria; Bacillati; Actinomycetota; Actinomycetes. The record is from RNAcentral.